CCUACGGGAGGCUGCAGUGGGGAAUAUUGCACAAUGGGCGCAAGCCUGAUGCAGCCAUGCCGCGUGUGUGAAGAAGGCCUUCGGGUUGUAAAGCACUUUCAGCGGGGAGGAAGGCGUUAAGGUUAAUAACCUUGUCGAUUGACGUUACCCGCAGAAGAAGCACCGGCUAACUCCGUGCCAGCAGCCGCGGUAAUACGGAGGGUGCAAGCGUUAAUCGGAAUUACUGGGCGUAAAGCGCACGCAGGCGGUCUGUCAAGUCGGAUGUGAGAUCCCCGGGCUCAACCUGGGAACUGCAUUCGAAACUGGCAGGCUAGAGUCUUGUAGAGGGGGGUAGAAUUCCAAGUGUAGCGGUGAAAUGCGUAGAGAUCUGGAGGAAUACCGGUGGCGAAGGCGGCCCCCUGGACAAAGACUGACGCUCAGGUGCGAAAGCGUGGGGAGCAAACAGGAUUAGAUACCCGAGUAGUC
This 465-nucleotide ribosomal RNA is filed under the name uncultured Klebsiella sp. Its description in RNAcentral is "bacterial SSU rRNA". It matches the Rfam family "Bacterial small subunit ribosomal RNA", at positions 338 to 795 of the family's 1533-position model. Lineage: Bacteria; Pseudomonadati; Pseudomonadota; Gammaproteobacteria; Enterobacterales; Enterobacteriaceae. The record is from RNAcentral.